This is a long non-coding RNA of Oreochromis aureus, 351 nucleotides long. Lineage: Eukaryota; Metazoa; Chordata; Actinopteri; Cichliformes; Cichlidae. The record is from Ensembl.
CUAAGGAUCCUUCAAAUGUAAUUGUUAAAUGAAAAAAAAUCAGCAAAAAAAAGUAUAACAGUCACACAAUCACAAAUAUGUACACAUAUGGAAACACACAUGCACAGAGAGACACACAGGAUCAAAUUCAGUCAACCAGUCUAAAUAUAUUGAAUUUAAAUCAUACAAUAAGAUGCUCCCAUAAAAACUCUCUCUCGCCCUCUCUUUCUCUCUCUCUCUGUCACACACACACACACACACACACACACACACACACACACAGGGAGAGAAAAUCAAGUUUCUAGCUCAGUCAAGCAGCCUGGGAGCUGCUAAAUUUGAAUCCACCAAUCAGAGAGGCUGUGUACUUUUUCC